AUGAGUUGUAGUUCUCCCCUCAGAGUAUUCCCCUAAGGUUUAUCAAUCCAUGGAACUUAUAGCACAAGGUCUAUUUCAACUAGCAUUGUUAGUAUUAACUUGGUAUUUAUGAGAGUUUCAGAUCCAAUCUACUAAGCAUAUACAGACAGAUAACAGAUAGAGUAAAGGUAACCAAUCUAGAGCAACUUAGACUAUGCAUAUGUUGUAAUUCAGAACAUGGAUAGCAAAGCAAUGCAGAUAUGAUCUUAGUAAAAAGUGUCUUUAAAUUUACACCUCCGGUCCGGAUCCCGAAACCCCC
This 298-nucleotide long non-coding RNA is filed under the name Setaria viridis. Its description in RNAcentral is "long non-coding RNA (SVIR_LNC000365)". Lineage: Eukaryota; Viridiplantae; Streptophyta; Magnoliopsida; Poales; Poaceae. The record is from RNAcentral.